Long non-coding RNA from Bufo bufo (common toad), 1826 nucleotides. RefSeq lists it as uncharacterized. The transcript has 5 exons. The record is from RefSeq and is a predicted model, not a curated record. Lineage: Eukaryota; Metazoa; Chordata; Amphibia; Anura; Bufonidae.
AGGUGGGUUAAGAAUACUUCACUGAAAUGAUGCAGAAGAUGCCAGAUCCACAAACGAGCCCUGCAAACAACUCUCAGUUGCUGUGGAUACCCAUCCUCUCCCUGCACUUUUUUUUUUGUUUAGGGGGAGGUGCCACCAAACUCAUUCUGGUCCCAAAUUGUUUUGUGAAACAAGUGAAACUUCUAGAGGAUUGAAGGAGACCUGGUUUCCAGUGGGUGCUCUCCUCACUGCUGCUGCAGUCUAUGCAACAGGUAGGUUGGUGUGACGCCUAGCUCAUCUCUUUGUUGUUGAACCUAAGUCCAAGGACAAUGAGAUGUGGGAGGGGAGUGUCCUGGACGGGACAGGACAGUGGAGACACACUGCCUGGUUCACACCUAAUAUCUUCAUCAGCAUCAACAGCUUCUUCACCCUUUCUCUAACAUUCACUAAAAGCACAGGGCUUUACAGGAUCAUCUUGAAGUUGAGGGCUUUGACCCAUCAGGACAGCAACCCAAACAAAGAGGAACAUCUUUGGACACUAAACUUGUCAACUCCUGCUCACCCACUUGCUGGGCUUUAUGAAUCUACUAUGAAGUUUACCUAAGUCCUGGUGGUUGAAGGUGAAGCUAAUUCAGGACAAAAGUUUACUAAGAGAAAUUGCAGUGGAUCUUGUAGUGUGCUUCUGACUAGACAAGGGAGGAGGGCGAGGGUGGGAGCUACAAACCUGCUGCAGAGCUCCAGUUCUUUGUUUGCUCCGAGAACUUGAACAAAAGGAAAAGUCUGAAGAACUCUUUAUCUGCAUCUCUAUCUGGAAUCAGCCCUUUUCCUCCAAGCCCUUCUGUGGUUGUCUUCUUCAAAAACUUCUCUAGCAUGAGGGACCUCAAUAUCAUUGUUACCUGCAAGUCACAAAGGGGCUUGACUCCAGAAGUUUCUUGUUUGAGAGAGCUUCUCAUGGAUCUGUUAAAAAUGCAAGAGACAAAUGGUGAAUUUGGUUUCCAAAUACGUUACCUUUAAGUGCUCAUUAUAAAAUAUGAAGAUCUGGGUUCUGAGCCCAGGAUUUUUAAAAUCGUGCUUUGGAUUGAACUGGUUCUGCACAGUUGGAUUAUACAGCGUUUUGGCUUUGGGAUCUGCCGAACACUUCCACUUGGAUUAAAGAAUAAGCUUCACCCUAGUGACAAUGUGACAUUACUAAGGUGAUUCAGUUUUUCCAGUUUGGCUGGUUAAGGGGUUGGUGACAUCAUGACUUCUCACGAAAGGCAAGAAGAUGCUUAAAGACUUCUGCAUAUAGAAACUCCGGCUUGGCUGCAAUGAACAAAGAGGGGGGCACUCUUCCAAAUCACCAGAGCUAGUGGAGAACAAGAUGUUUCACACUGUUAUCCUUGGAGGAGAAAUCUACUGAACUACACUGUAAUUGCCCAUUGGAACAUUAGAACAAUAACUAUGCUAGGAACAAAAUUUAUGUGACCACAAGGACGUGUUGAAUGGAAUGGGAAGUGAGAGAAGAUUUCAUCAUCUGGCUAUGGGGGAUAUCACUAGAUGAAUUAAGAUGUAUUAUUAAUGGAAUAUGGAAAUGUGAUGCAUUUAUUUUUCAGGUGUUUUUUUAUUUUUUAUUUUCCAUUUUUCUUUUUCUUUGUAAGUUGUGAAUUUUGGCACUUGUUUUCAAUCUAUUUAUUUUACACAAAUUUUGUGAUCACUAAUAUGAUUUUUGUUUGCACUAGGACUAGGUCAUUUUAUAGUACUAAUCACAAUAUGCUGUAAAUAUUACUAUGCACGCUGCAUAUUUUUCACUACUAUAUAAUUUUUCAUAAUUUAUUUAUUUUAAGGUAUUCAAUUAUGUAUUUCACCAU